UGAUUGUCUCGUGAGUAAAUUGUUAAAUGUGAAUAUAAGAUACAAUGUAUAUAGUAUUAUAGUUGCACUUUUUUUCUUGAUGAAUUUCUGAUCUCCACAUACAAUGUAAUGUUAAAGAUGUGCACAAUGUGCUCAGUUCUCGCAUACUAGAUUCAGAUCAUGUACUGGAGUAGGCAUGUAAUCGGAUACUCCACCUCAGAUUGUGUGUAGCUGCUGAGUGCAGUGAAUUGAUGCCCACUGCGCUGCUCAGUAAAUAGUAAAUACCGGUACAUUUUCUCAUCUCUCUCUCUCUCUCUCUCUCUCCCUGCACUGCUACUAGGUGUUGUCAAAUAUUCUGAAUGUGGCAGAGAAAUAAGUUCUGAUUACCAUCUCUUUUUGAUUCAGAAAAUUUCAGGAGUUUGAGAAAGAUCUACCUGGCCAGCUCAGUCGCAGUACUUCACAAGAGCAUAGAGAUCGAGAGAAGGAAGUCAGAGGGGCAGUUUGGAAUUUACAGAUCCGGAAAAUCGGCAUAAUUAUUCACCUGAGCACACAUCACCAUUUCAAG
Molecule: long non-coding RNA, 544 nt
Organism: Strongylocentrotus purpuratus (purple sea urchin)
Lineage: Eukaryota; Metazoa; Echinodermata; Echinoidea; Camarodonta; Strongylocentrotidae
Exons: 2
Source: RefSeq, a predicted model, not a curated record